Long non-coding RNA from Anguilla rostrata (American eel), 333 nucleotides. RefSeq lists it as uncharacterized. The record is from RefSeq and is a predicted model, not a curated record. The transcript has 3 exons. NCBI's taxonomy places the organism in Eukaryota, Metazoa, Chordata, Actinopteri, Anguilliformes, Anguillidae.
CGACCGCUUGUCUUGUUCACAGAAUUUUCAGGCAUUUAAACUACAUCCUCCAUGAUCCAUUGCAAUAUCGUCAUAAUUUUCAGCGUGCCCUCGCUAGCAGGCGCUGUAUCGAUAUAUUAAACUUUAAGGACACAAUAUUUGUGCUGCCUGCCUCUGGAGCAUAUCAGAGCUGACAGUAUCCAGAAAUGGCAGAAAUCCCUUCAAUGUCGGCAGAAACGUCCUUCUCCUCUGGCUGUCAGUGUUUCCUGCCAACGUGUGCCAGCUCACUGGAGAGAGGAGGAGCCACUGGAGCCAGACACCAGCAGGAGGAGGUUUGUACCGCUGCGCGUGACU